GAUGAACGCUGGCGGCGUGCCUAAUACAUGCAAGUCGAGCGAACAGACGAGGAGCUUGCUCCUCUGACGUUAGCGGCGGACGGGUGAGUAACACGUGGAUAACCUCCCUAUAAGACUGGGAUAACUUCGGGAAACCGGCGCUAAUACCGGAUAAUAUAUUGAACCGCAUGGUUCAAUAGUGAAAGACGGUUUUGCUGUCACUUAUAGAUGGAUCCGCGCCGCAUUAGCUAGUUGGUAAGGUAACGGCUUACCAAGGCAACGAUGCGUAGCCGACCUGAGUGGGUGAUAGGCCACACUGGAACUGAGACACGGUCCAGACUCCUACGGGAGGCAGCAGUAGGGAAUCUUCCGCAAUGGGCGAAAGCCUGACGGAGCAACGCCGCGUGAGUGAUGAAGGUCUUCGGAUCGUAAAACUCUGUUAUUAGGGAAGAACAAAUGUGUAAGUAACUAUGCACGUCUUGACGGUACCUAAUCAGAAAGCCACGGCUAACUACGUG
This 497-nucleotide ribosomal RNA is filed under the name uncultured bacterium. RNAcentral describes it as "partial 16S ribosomal RNA". It matches the Rfam family "Bacterial small subunit ribosomal RNA", at positions 28 to 507 of the family's 1533-position model. The record is from RNAcentral.